GGAUGUGAGGGCGAUCUGGCUGCGACAUCUGUCACCCCAUUGAUCGCCAGGGUUGAUUCUGCUGAUCUGGCUGGCUAGGCGGGUGUUCCCUUCCUCCCUCACCGCUCCAUGUGCGUCCCUCCCAAAGCUGUGCUCUCAGUCAAAGAGGACUGCAUUCCCAGAAUAGAGACGGACCGGUCUUCAGUAGAGGGUAUAUAUAGGAGUAGCUGCGCUCCCCUGCUAGAACCUCCAAACAAGCUCUCAAGUAUAAUAGUAAGAGGAAAAAAAAUCCACUGGCAGCAGUGGAUUCAUAGU
Molecule: small nuclear RNA, 294 nt
Filed under: Erinaceus europaeus (western European hedgehog)
Lineage: Eukaryota; Metazoa; Chordata; Mammalia; Eulipotyphla; Erinaceidae
Description: 7SK RNA
Rfam family: 7SK RNA
About the family: 7SK was discovered as an abundant small nuclear RNA in the mid-70s but a possible function has only recently been suggested. Two independent studies have found that 7SK RNA binds the CDK9/cyclin T complex (known as elongation factor P-TEFb). P-TEFb activates transcription by phosphorylating the C-terminal domain of RNA polymerase II.
Source: Rfam by way of RNAcentral